Molecule: long non-coding RNA, 1563 nt
Organism: Brassica napus (rape)
Lineage: Eukaryota; Viridiplantae; Streptophyta; Magnoliopsida; Brassicales; Brassicaceae
Exons: 4
Source: RefSeq, a predicted model, not a curated record
AGGCUUCUCUAUGACACGUCAGACACGCGAUCUUCAGAGGCGAGACCCGGCCCUUUUUCUUUUCAUCUUUUCCGCCAUCUUCGUUUCAUUCGAUCGCCGUUCUGGCUACUAGCAAUCAAUUCCAUAUCGAGCAAUCAAUCUCUUCUCUAUUAUUAAACGUAGUUUGAUCUCAUAAAUGGAGACUUUUGGCUUUCACGAUCUGAGAUUCUAUAUAUAUAGAUCUCACUCUCAACCUCUUCCCUUCACCAGAAAUUAUUCUCUUCCUGCGAGGUGAUUGCGUUCGACGAUAAAAGGUAUGAGCUCUUGCGUUUAGAAUCAUCUUCUCAUCUAUUCUAAACUAAACAUCAAAGAAAAAAAAUGUGAUUGUGGCGAACGCUUUGGUUUCCUCUCCGAUUUAUAAACUGGCCGCUCUUCCUCCACUGUUCAAGUCGCCUGCUUCGAUCUACAGAAGUCAGUCGAUGUUCUUCAACCAUGGCGGUGAGUUUUCUAAGAUUCUGGGAAGCCAGAAACGUCGAGAGAUGAUGGCGUCGAUAUGCUCUUACUGGAUUCAAAGGCGACCCUCAUGCUGGCCACUGUGAAUGUUAACCGGCUUGCAACUUACAGGACUUAUCUCAAGGAGGGUUCAAUGUAUUCCAUCACCGGUUUUGAUGUUCAAUGUUCCGUGAAAUCAGAACUUCUGGCUUUCCUACUCCUCCCUGUUGAUUAGAUUCAGUGAUGCUACCUCUUUGGAUGAAAUAACUAAACCGGCUUCACCCAUACCUGAAGAAUGUUUCAGGCUGGUCUCUAGCGACACUGGGCAUGCAUCAGCAGCUCCACUGCUGAGGGGCUAUGCCAAGGUUGAGCCUCUGACUAUAGCUGAGCUCAAAUGAAUUCAGUGACAAGAAUGAAGAAGGGCUCAGACAAAGGGUGAUGCUACGUUUCUUGCUCCAACUGUACCAGGAAGCUUCAACGCACUAUCUCAGCCUUUACAUGUGUUCACUGCAACAAUACUAAAGCUGUUGGUGUCCUUCGGCAUGUAUAAUUCCGUAGCAUGUUGUUUACAUUCAUUUUGGUAUCACGUGUAGGUCUCGACUUUUUAUACACGUUCACUGUCUUAUAGCUACCUUGUGGAGAUGGCCAUUGCUGAUGAUACUGCUGUAGAGUCUAUUUUUCUGCUUUGACAGGGUAAUGACAAAACUGCAUAACAUGAGAGUCUAUGAAGAUGAUAUUCCUGGUGCCAUCUCGGUACCUGCUAAGGCAGAGCCGAAUACAUGAGCAGGUCUAAGUGGUGUCAACACAACUAAGUCUCCAGCACUAGGGUGUUCUAAGAUGGUCAAGAAAGCACGCAAGUCAUAGAUUAAAAUAAUGAUAGAUCUGGCAUCAGUAUUUCCUCUUUGAAUAAUGCUUAGGCAUUGUUGUUUUUCUUUUGUUUUUGAACAAGUUCGUUUAUGUUUUACUCCUCUUUUGGUUAAUCUAUGUUUGGUUUAGACUCUCUUUAUAAAAUAUGUCUCAGUUUCCACAAUUGUUGUACAUCUAACUCACUAUUUAUUUAAGACGGACGACACUUGGUCCCAGCUUAUUGUC